AUUGAACGCUGGCGGCAGGCCUAACACAUGCAAGUCGAGCGGUAGAGAGAAGCUUGCUUCUCUUGAGAGCGGCGGACGGGUGAGUAAUGCCUAGGAAUCUGCCUGGUAGUGGGGGAUAACGUUCGGAAACGGACGCUAAUACCGCAUACGUCCUACGGGAGAAAGCAGGGGACCUUCGGGCCUUGCGCUAUCAGAUGAGCCUAGGUCGGAUUAGCUAGUUGGUGGGGUAAUGGCUCACCAAGGCGACGAUCCGUAACUGGUCUGAGAGGAUGAUCAGUCACACUGGAACUGAGACACGGUCCAGACUCCUACGGGAGGCAGCAGUGGGGAAUAUUGGACAAUGGGCGAAAGCCUGAUCCAGCCAUGCCGCGUGUGUGAAGAAGGUCUUCGGAUUGUAAAGCACUUUAAGUUGGGAGGAAGGGCAGUAAAUUAACACUUUGCUGUUUUGACGUUACCGACAGAAUAAGCACCGGCUAACUCUGUG
Molecule: ribosomal RNA, 484 nt
Filed under: uncultured bacterium
Lineage: Bacteria
Description: partial 16S ribosomal RNA
Rfam family: Bacterial small subunit ribosomal RNA
Source: RNAcentral